GUGCCCUAUCGGUCCUGGGGGCAGCCAACUCUGAGUCAUCUCGGCCUCUCCCAGGACAGCAUGGAGAAAGCUUGGUCAGUGACUGGGACCUGAAUGAAGAACCAGAGGACAACCACGAGAAGGGAGCAGGAUAUUAAUGAAUGAAUAGGAGCUUGCCAGGCUGAGAAAGGAAAAGAUUCCAGGGGAGCAGGCAGAGGCCCGGCUAAGGCAGCGGCCAGGAGGACUGCAUGUAAAUGCAUGGCGAGAGCAGAAAACCAGAGAUGUCCAGUAGACCGUGGCACGAAGGCAGGCCAAGAGCAUGGGAACAAGCACUAUCUCCCUGCCCACAGCCAUCCCUCUUAUUGCUCCUCAAUUUUCCAGCGUGACUGACUCCACUAAGCUCUAAAGGUUCACGAGGGCACAGGGCACGAACAGACCAGGGGAAGCUGCCACCAAAGCAUCUGACUGUGAAGCCCAGCCUCCUCCACUCUCUAUUA
Tupaia belangeri chinensis (Chinese tree shrew) is the source of this 476-nucleotide long non-coding RNA. RefSeq lists it as uncharacterized. The transcript has 3 exons. Lineage: Eukaryota; Metazoa; Chordata; Mammalia; Scandentia; Tupaiidae. The record is from RefSeq and is a predicted model, not a curated record.